Molecule: unclassified non-coding RNA, 62 nt
Filed under: synthetic construct
Source: RNAcentral
GGGGUGGGGUUGGGGCUGGGUUGCGCGGGGGCCGGUCCGUUUUUUGCGUGGUCGUUGUUGUG